CCUACGGGAGGCGGCAGUGAGGAAUAUUGGUCAAUGGGCGCGAGCCUGAACCAGCCAAGUAGCGUGAAGGAUGACUGCCCUACGGGUUGUAAACUUCUUUUAUAAAGGAAUAAAGUGAGGCACGUGUGCCUUAUUGUAUGUACUUUAUGAAUAAGGAUCGGCUAACUCCGUGCCAGCAGCCGCGGUAAUACGGAGGAUCCGAGCGUUAUCCGGAUUUAUUGGGUUUAAAGGGAGCGUAGAUGGGUUGUUAAGUCCGUUGUGAAAGUUUGCGGCUCAACCGUAAAAUUGCAAUUGAUACUGGCAGUCUUGAGUACAUUGGAGGUAGGCGGAAUUCGUGGUGUAGCGGUGAAAUGCUUAGAUAUCACGAAGAACUCCGAUUGCGAAGGCAGCUUACUAUACUGCCACUGACAUUGAUGCUCGAAAGUGUGGGUAUCAAACAGGAUUAGAUACCCUAGUAGUC
Molecule: ribosomal RNA, 460 nt
Filed under: uncultured bacterium
Lineage: Bacteria
Description: partial 16S ribosomal RNA
Rfam family: Bacterial small subunit ribosomal RNA
Source: RNAcentral